UGACCGGAUCCGGGAAGGCCUCUUAGGCCAUGAGAAGAAGAUCAUUCUGGCCUCUGUGCAGAGGGCAAGAAUAGAAGAAGAUCAGGUUAUCACAGUGGUUCAACAAGAUGACUGCAGCUCGGAGCUAGAGAUGACAAAAGCGGAGGGAUUUAGCAGGUCUUGGGGAAGAGAUGGCAAGACUUGCUGAUGGCGUAUAUGAAGGGAAUGACGGGGACAAGAAGGAUCGAGAGCGACACCUGAAUUAGACUGUAGCAGCUGUGCAGAGUGUGCUGUCACCCACUAAAGUGGUGAAGACCACAGGAGAAACAGAAGUCCACAAAGAAUUCCAGUCAGCUGUCGCAUGCUUAGAGAAGAGAUCUUGUCUCUUUAAAAUAUUGCCAAAUGAAGCUAGCUGCCGGACCAGGGGCUUCUGUGAAGACACGUCCACUGUUCCCCUUCAGCUCCCUCUUUCACCGCCAACCCACUGCCAUCAAACUCUCCCCUUUCUCCACCAUCAGCACUUGCUUUUACAAAAUUAUCAUUACAAUAACAAGAGGACCUUUCAUUUUAAUAAAAGAUCUGGAAGGAUCUACACUAAAGUGUUAGCUGCUAUUUCUGCGUGAAGAGAUUAUGGAAUUUUUUUCUUAUUAUCAUGUAUGUGAAUAAUUAAUUAUGCAAACUAGUAUUGAUUUGGUGAUAAGAAAAUAAAAGUAAAAGUUUUUUCCCCUCCAAGAAAAAGAAUGCUUCAUCUUUUUAUGAGAAUUUACUCUCUAUAAAGGACUUUUAGUUCCAUUGCAUCAAUGGCACUUCCUAACCACCCUCUGAAUAAAUCAUUUAUUCCCACUUACAGAUGAGACCACCAAGAGGGAGAGAAGGGAAUUGUUUGGCUGCGGGUGACAAAGCUAGUAA
Molecule: long non-coding RNA, 888 nt
Filed under: Equus caballus (horse)
Lineage: Eukaryota; Metazoa; Chordata; Mammalia; Perissodactyla; Equidae
Description: lncRNA (ENSECAG00000045847.1)
Source: RNAcentral